GUCGUGAGAUGUUGGGUUUAAGUACCGCACGAGCGCAACCCCUAUUGUUAGUUGCCAUCAUUCAGUUGGGCACUCUAGCGAGACUGCCGGUAAUAAACCGGAGGAAGGUGGGAUGACGUCAAAUCAUCAUGCCCCUUAUGACCUGGGCUACACACGUGCUACAAUGGUUGGUACAACGAGUUGCGAGUCGGUGACGGCGAGCUAAUCUCUUAAAGCCAAUCUCAGUUCGGAUUGUAGGCUGCAACUCGCCUACAUGAAGUCGGAAUCGCUAGUAAUCGCGGAUCAGCAUGCCGCGGUGAAUACGUUCCCGGGCCUU
RNAcentral lists this ribosomal RNA (316 nucleotides) under uncultured Streptococcus sp. RNAcentral describes it as "bacterial SSU rRNA". It matches the Rfam family "Bacterial small subunit ribosomal RNA", at positions 1064 to 1382 of the family's 1533-position model. Lineage: Bacteria; Bacillati; Bacillota; Bacilli; Lactobacillales; Streptococcaceae. The record is from RNAcentral.